This 1587-nucleotide ribosomal RNA is filed under the name Triticum aestivum (bread wheat). RNAcentral describes it as "partial small subunit ribosomal RNA". The record is from RNAcentral. Lineage: Eukaryota; Viridiplantae; Streptophyta; Magnoliopsida; Poales; Poaceae.
AUGAGCCGCAUGAGAUUCGAGUUGGUUAAUCGGCUCAUGGUGAAGGCCGGCCAAGCAGACGAGCGGAUCGCCGAGGGCACGCAGCAGUUCACCGACACACAGUGGGUGCGGGCGGUGGUGCAGUGUACUAGGGACCUGCUGGCGAGCGAGUGCACACGCUGCCUCUCCUACUACACCGACCAGCUGCCGCGAUUGUUUCCAAACAACAGCGGCGGCGCCAUCAAGGGGUACAGCUGCUACUUGGGUUGCGCCAUCCUUGCCGACAGGCCGUCCACGGUGCGGCUGAACAGGCACCGGUAUAGCGAGAGUUAUGAGAAGGAGAUGAAAGCCCAAGAGCUGGAGCGUAGGAGAAAACGGCGAAAGGUGGCUAUCAUCGUGUGUCUUAUUAUCGGCGCCGUGGUGCUCGUACUCUUUAUGAUCGGCCUAUUGGUUCGGUUCCUGUUUAACUGGUGGCGAAGAAGGAUGGCAGCGGCCGGGGUGUCCGUGACAUCAGAGCCGCUGAAAGAGUACUUCCGUGGCAAAAGCAUAUAUCAAGGCGAGCUCGAGGAAGGGACAGGGCCAAGGCGAUUCACAUACGAUGAGCUUGUGCCCGCCACAGACGGCUUCUCCGGCAGGAACAAGCUAGGCGAAGGAGGCUUCGGGUCCGUGUACCGGGGAUUCCUCCAUGACACGAACCUUCAUAUCGCCGUGAAGAAAGUGUCCAAGACCUCUCGCCAGGGCUGGAAGGAGUUUGUCUCGGAGGUAAAGAUCAUUAGCAGGCUCCGGCACCGGAACCUCGUGCCGCUUGUUGGAUGGUUCUAUGGAGGCGACGACGAUGAUUUUCUCCUCGUCUACGAGCUGAUGCCCAAUGGCAGCCUGGACGCUCACCUGUACAAGCCGGACCACCUGCUGCCAUGGGCAGUCAGAUAUGGGGUCGCACUUGGCCUUGGCUCCGGGCUGCUGUACCUGCACGAGGACGUGGAGCAGCGCGUCGUGCACAGGGACGUCAAGCCGAGCAACAUCAUGCUGGACGCGUCCUUCAACGCCAAGCUCGGUGACUUCGGGCUCGCCAGGUUCGUCCGCGAUGGUCAAGGCUCGUUCACGACAGGCGCAGCUGGGACGCUUGGGUACAUGGACCCGAAGUGCGUGUUUGUGGGCACGGCCAGUGUGGAGUCCGACGUGUACAGCUUCGGCGUUGUCCUAGUCGAGAUGGCAUGUGGCCGGACGCCGGCGGUAGUCCGUGACGAUGAUGGCGGAGGAGUUGUCCACCUGUUGCAGUGGGUAUGGGAGUCAUAUGGCAGAGGUGCCAUCCUGGAGGCAGCCGACGCCCGACUGGAUGGCAAGUUCGACGAGAAAGAGAUGGAGCGCGUCAUGGUGGUUGGGCUCUGGUGCGGGCACCCCGACCCUGGCCUGAGGCCGUCCAUCAGGCAGGCCGUCAGCGUGCUGCGGUUGGAGGCGCCGCUGCCGAGCCUCCCGGCGAAGAUGCCGGUGGCGACAUAUAUGAUGCGGCCAGAGGUUGAUGAAUCUUUCGGUUCUUCCGUGGUCAACCGCGGCGGCGGCAGCGUGGACUCCAGCAUGACUCAUUCUACUCGAGGCAAAGUCGAGUAG